UAAUGGCACAAAUAAGAAAGGCUGAAGGAAGCCAGCUGGAGGUGAUUCUCACAUGUACAGUGUGUGAAGAAAUUUUCAAAGAUCCGCACCAGUUGGAGUGUGGCCACAGCUUCUGCAUGCAGUGCAUAGAGGGCAUGCUGGAACAUGGACAACCAUCUCCAAUGUUUAACUGCCCAGAGUGUAGAGCAGCCCUGAAAUGGCCACUUUUUCUCCAGAAAUGCGAUGCACUGAACAAGAUCACACAGUUCUUCAAAAAGAAGGACUCUAGUGUGGUCCCCUGUGAUUUCUGCCCUAAUGGACAAAAAAGAAGUGCCGUGAAAACAUGUCUGAAAUGUGAUGCAUCACUGUGUAAAGAGCAUCUCCGUCCCCACAAGGAGCGCAGAACGCUUCAGGAACACCCACUGAUUGACCCACAUGAUGAUUUAGCUAAAUUCACAUGUCGUCUGCACACAGAACUUGUCAUGAAAUAUUGCCCCACGACUAAGCAAUUUGUUUGUCAUGUGUGUAAUAUGGAGAAAGAGCAGUGCAUUAAAAUAGUUAAAUGGUCUGAGAAUCUGGAGAACAAACUAAAGAAAGUCGCAGACAUGCAGUUUGAAGAAAUGAAGAGAAAGCUUACACACUCAGUGGACACUGUCAGGAAGCUGACAGGGGAUACUGAAAAAAUAGUGGGGAAGAUGGAACAAAUGUCGCUGAUGUCCAAAUCUAUUGCUGAUUUUUACCAAACUAGUAUUAUAGGAGCACUGCUGUUCACCAUACUUAUCCUCUGCUUUUACGCCUACAGUUACUCUUCAGAAAGCCAAAGUAUGUCCAGCACUGUGCAGAUUCAACAAACACAACUUCACAAGCUUCAUAUGCGUAUAAGUGACAGCCAAUGUUUUGUGCCUCCAGAAGACAUUGACAGGUCAUCUGACCAAGUGAGAUCUGUGGCGAGCUUCAUGAACAAAAACUCAGCCAACCCUCUGCUCCAAGUGUCUCCAGACCUGCAGUCUGUAGAGCGGGUCACCGACAAACUUUCUCUUCUUCCACACCCCUCCCGUUUUGAUGAACUCCCUCAAAUUCUGACCAUGCCUUGUUUCUCUUAUGGAAAACACCACUGGGAGCUUGAAGUAAAAGGCGCUUGGGACAUUGCAGUAGCCUUUCAUAGUAUUUCACGGAAGGGAAAGAGUGGAGCUUUUGGAGAUAACAAAAAAUCUUGGUGCCUCACACAAAAUAAAAUGGGCGAUCUGUUCGUGUAUCACAACAAUAUGAAACGAGAAGUGUCCAAGACAUUAAGACGAGACCGUGUUACAGUGGGUAUUGAUUUUGUUAAAGGAACCAUCACAUUCUCAGAGGAUGGUAAUAGUCUUUUGCACAGGUUUGGGUCAGCCCAGCUGACUGAGCCAGUUUGCUUAGGAUUUGCACUAAAGUAUGUAAAACCACAGAGUAAAAUUACUUUGUUACGCUCCUGGUAGUGAUGUGCACUCAUGUCCUAUUUGAGUAUACGUGUGAAUGAACAUGAUCUGAGAUAUUACAUAAGUAGUCCUAAUAGAAGGGAUUGGAAAAAAAAUCGAUAUACUUGUACUAAAAUAUAUACAUAAUUAUAUUAAUAUUUUUAAUAGAUGAUCAUGCUAUUAUAAAUACAAGUUGCAAUCAGAUCUUAAUUUAAUCAUGCAACGUAAGCUGUCUCUGCUAAACGUCUUAAAUGUAAAUGUGCACAGUUGAGAUUUUAAAAGUAAUACAAUGGGUUAAAGGAAUAGUUUCAAAAAUGUUAAUUAUCUCAUACCCACCCUCAUACCGUCCCAGAUGCGUAUGGCUUUCUUCUGCUGAACACACAAAAAUAUUUUUUGUGUGAUAGACACUCCAGAGGAAUCACUGAUUCGACUAUGUUUGCGCUGGUAGCGACGCUGAUCAUCAUGAAGUGUCCUCCGUAGAUUCCGAAGUCUCAUCUCAAUAAAUCCACUGUGGGAAACUGGGUCAUAGAAAUGUUCCUGGAUGAAAGGGGGAGGAAUUAUAAAUAAAUAGUUGUCUAUUUCUGGUCUGAAUAGUGCUCCUUGCAAAAAACAGUGUCAAUGGGCCAGAUGGCAUGGUGAUUUUUUUUAACAUUAUUUUGUUUUAAUUGUGUUUAAAUAUGAAAUCAGGAUUACAAUGUACGCGACACAAAAGUUUGACGUGUAAUACUGUAGGAAAAUGCUGAAGCAUUAUAUGGUGAAAUUGUUAUUGCUAACCCUGAAGCAUUAUAUGGUGUUAACUAAUAUCAGAUUUUAAUCAUGCUGAUUGAGAAGAAAAACUGAAAUGGCACUCUUCGUGUGAUAUUGAUUAACUACAUAAAAUGAUAUAAAUAUAUACAUUGUCUAACCCCCAUAUCUUGAAUUAUGUGAUCAUUCACAUGCAUUUAUAAAUGCAUUUGAAUACACUGAAUAAUGCAGUGAAAGAACGCACUCAAAAUGCACACCCGCACUUUCAUCAUGUAACUUUACAUUAUAGAUGCGUGCACUCUGUAGGCACGAUUUGUUUAGUUUUUGAAUUAUACUUGAUAACGUUAAAGCGCACAUCGUUAAAACAAAAAAUACGAUAUUAUCGCAGACGAUAGCUAUAUCGCACACCCCUAUAUUGACCUUAUCGUCAUCAUCAUCAUCAUCAUUAUUAUCAUCAUAACAAGAAAUUACUCAGUACAAAAACAAGCAUAAGGGCUCAUUCUAAGCCAUUUAUAGCUGAAUAGGCUUUCGUCUUGUCUUACUUAGCCUUGUUUGCUGCUCUAAUUCUUUGUCAUGUAGGCUAUGUGAAAUUAUUGUAGGCUACCGCAACUAAACAAUUUUGCAUUAUGGAUUACAUUUUUUUAUCUGUUGAACAGUAAACAUAAACAAAAAGAAGUAAUAAACUCAUUAUUUUCAUUAAUUUUACAAAGUAAACUAUUUGUUUGCAUUUGCGCGAGCAUAUUCACGCAGCGCUGUCUCGCGAGUGCAUGCACGCGCGUUUUUGAAUUCCAACGGUCGAGAAGAGACUGAUCCCCGUCUCUGGCGUCUGCUGAUUUAAAUUGAUGGGCUGACGGAAAUAUUGUUGUGCGGAUUUAACGUUACACUUUAAACACGAAAGAGCCUGAACCGCGACAAUGUCACAAGUUGCCUUACAUCGAUUAUAUUAAACCUGGAAAAUAUUGGAGAAGAUCAAUUGAGUUUUCAGAAGCACAUUACUGUGAUAAAUGCUGAACUACGUAAAAGACAACCCGACUAUACCAACAUAAAAAAUCAAAUGAGAUGCACUCUUUUUAAAAGAGUCGAUUUAAUGACAAAAUCAACACGAGAGGUCAUGGACAUGUUCCCAUUUCUUCGGGUUCCACAACUUCUGCUGCAUGAAGUGAAGAUGCGGAUUGGGAAGGACCUUCAUCUUAAUCUAGAGACUGCUCUUCAAAUUCUGGCCCCAAACAUCUUAAAUGUGGCUAGACAUGGAAGUCAGAGGGAUGUGCUGAACAGUUUACUUCAGCAAAUUGACUCAAAUACAAAAAGAAUCAGUAAAGCCAACUCCGACUAUAGUUUUUCAUGAAGCUUCAAACCCCCUCCAUGCAAAAAGAGCCAGCAUCAAUAUGGAGGGUGUCAACAUUGUGAGCGCAGAAAUGGAUGUGAUGGAGGCAAUGGAGUGCCUCUUUGCUGCUUAUUUCGUAUUCAGUGUGGAAUACCCCAAGCACAUCACUCACACGAUGAAUUUUGUUGAGCACUACCUGUUUAAACUCUCCAGCAGCCAAAAAAACUGUCUGUCCCAGUGCUCAAAAUGUAUAAUCAAUUAUCAUAAUACUUUGAUAUGUCAUGAAUAGUGCUAAUGUAAAUAUGAGGUGAUUGAUGUUAUUCUGAAAUGCUGAUCUGAAUUUUAAUCUAUAUAUUCACAUUCUUUAUGAGUGAUAUUAAUAUGAAUUUGUAUAUUUAAAGUACUUCUAUAUCUGUAUAUUUCCAUUGUGAGUUAUAUUAAUAUGUAUUUGUAGUUUUGAGGGACUUGAUGUUGUUCUAACACUAAUGGGAAUUUAGAUGAAUCUGUAUAUUUGCAUUAUUUAU
Molecule: RNA transcript, 4022 nt
Organism: Xyrauchen texanus (razorback sucker)
Lineage: Eukaryota; Metazoa; Chordata; Actinopteri; Cypriniformes; Catostomidae
Gene name: E3 ubiquitin/ISG15 ligase TRIM25-like
Exons: 11
Source: RefSeq, a predicted model, not a curated record